UCCCAUGUGGCUCAGCUGGUAAAGAAUCCACCUGCAAUGUGGGAGACCUGGGUUCGAUCCCUGGGUUGGGAA
Molecule: transfer RNA, 72 nt
Filed under: Capra hircus (goat)
Lineage: Eukaryota; Metazoa; Chordata; Mammalia; Artiodactyla; Bovidae
Also listed under: 1 other name
Rfam family: tRNA
About the family: Transfer RNA (tRNA) molecules are approximately 80 nucleotides in length. Their secondary structure includes four short double-helical elements and three loops (D, anti-codon, and T loops). Further hydrogen bonds mediate the characteristic L-shaped molecular structure. tRNAs have two regions of fundamental functional importance: the anti-codon, which is responsible for specific mRNA codon recognition, and the 3' end, to which the tRNAs corresponding amino acid is attached (by aminoacyl-tRNA synthetases). tRNAs cope with the degeneracy of the genetic code in two manners: having more than one tRNA (with a specific anti-codon) for a particular amino acid; and 'wobble' base-pairing, i.e. permitting non-standard base-pairing at the 3rd anti-codon position.
Source: Rfam by way of RNAcentral